This 442-nucleotide ribosomal RNA is filed under the name uncultured bacterium. RNAcentral's name for it is "partial 16S ribosomal RNA". It matches the Rfam family "Bacterial small subunit ribosomal RNA", at positions 338 to 795 of the family's 1533-position model. The record is from RNAcentral.
CCUACGGGAGGCAGCAGUAGGGAAUCUUUCACAAUGGGCGAAAGCCUGAUGGAGCAACGCCGCGUGCAGGAUGAAGGCCUUCGGGUUGUAAACUGCUUUUAUAAGCGAGAAAUAUGAUGGUAACUUAUGAAUAAGGCUCGGCUAACUACGUGCCAGCAGCCGCGGUCAUACGUAGGAUCCGAGCAUUAUCCGGAGUGACUGGGUGUAAAGAGUUGCGUAGGUGGCAUAAUAAGUAGCUAGUGAAAUCUGGUGGCUCAACCAUUCAGACUAUUAGCUAAACUGUUAAGCUCGAGACCGUUAGGGGUAACUGGAAUUUCUAGUGUAGGAGUGAAAUCCGUAGAUAUUAGAAGGAACCCCAAUAGCGUAGGCAGGUUGCUGGGACGGGUCUGACACUAAGGCACGAAAGCGUAGGGAGCAAACGGGAUUAGAUACCCCAGUAGUC